This 10219-nucleotide long non-coding RNA is filed under the name Ananas comosus (pineapple). RNAcentral's name for it is "long non-coding RNA (ACOM_LNC039212)". The record is from RNAcentral. Lineage: Eukaryota; Viridiplantae; Streptophyta; Magnoliopsida; Poales; Bromeliaceae.
UUAUUGGAUUAAAUGAGAAAAAGUACUCGUUGCAAUGUUAUACUGUUAGGGCGCAACUGGGUAGUUUUUUUUGUUCCGGUUUUUGUUCUUUUAAAGGUUGACAUCAAUUCGUUCCAUAUUUACACUCUCGGGGUAUAAUAGAACAAUAUAAUUCGCUUUUACUCUUUGUUCGAUUGAAUGAUAAAAAGUACUCGUUACAAAGAUAUACAGUUAGGGCGUAACUGAGUAGUCUACUUUUGUUCCGGUUUAGGUUCUUUUGAAGGUUGACAUCCAUUCGUUCCAUAUUUACACUCUCGCGGUAUAAUAGAACAAUAUAAUUAUAUUUUACUCUUUGUUCGAUUGAAUGAGAAAAAGUACUCUUUGCAAAGUUAUACUGUUAGGGCACAAUUGAGUAGUCUAUUUUUGUUCCGGUUUUGGUUCUUGUGAAGGUUGACAUCGAUUCGUUCCAAAUUUACACUCUCGGGGCAUAAUAGAACAAUAUAAUUAGCUUUCGCUCUUUGUUCGAUUGAAUGAGAAAAAGUACUCGUCGCAAAGCUAUAUUGUUAGGGCGGAACUGAGUAGUCAUUUUUUGUUCCGGUUUUGGUUCUUGUGAAGGUUGACAUCGAUUUGUUCCAUAUUUACACUCUCGCGGUAUAAUAGAAUAAUAUAAUUAGCUUUUACUCUUUGUUCGAUUGAAUGUGAAAAUGUAUUCGUUGCAAAGUUAUACUGUUAGGGCGCAACUGAGUAGUCUAUUUUUGUUCCGGUUUUGGUUCUUGUGAAGGUUGACAUCGAUUCGUUCCAAAUUUACACUCUCAGGACAAAAUAGAACAAUAUAAUUAGAUUUUACUCUUUGUUCGAUUAAAUGAGAAAUAGUACUCGUUGCAAAGUUAUGCUGUUAGAGCGCAUCUGAGUAGUCUAUUUUUGUUACUGUUUUGGUUCUUUUAUAGGUUGACGUCAAUUCGUUCCAUAUUUACACUCUCGGGGUAUAAUAGAACAAUAUAAUUAGCUUUUACCCUUUGUUCGAUUGAAUGAAAAAAAGUACUCGUUGCAAAGUUAUACUGUUAGGGCGCAACUGAGUAGUCUAUUUUUGUUCCGGUUUUCGUUCUUGUGAAUGUUGAUAUCGAUUCGUUCCAAAUUUACACUCUCGGGGCACAAUAGAACAAUAUAAUUAGCUUUAACUCUUUAUUCGAUUAAAUGAGAAAAAGUACUCGUUGCAAAGUUAUACUGUUAGGGCGCAACUGAGUAGUCUUUUUUUGUUCCGGUUUUGGUUCUUUUAAAGUUUGACAUCAAUUCGUUCCAUAUUUACACUCUCGGUGUAUAAUAGAACAAUAUAAUUAGCUUUUACUCUUUGUUCGAUUGAAUGAGAAAAAGUACUCGUCGCAAAGUUAUAUUGUUAGGGCGAAACUGAGUAGUGUUUUUUUGUUCCGGUUUUGAUUCUUGUGAAGGUUGACAUCGAUUCGUUCUAAAUUUACACUCUCUGGACACAAUAGAACAAUAUAAUUAGCUUUUACUCUUUGUUCGAUUAAAUGAGAAAUAGUACUCGUUGCAAAGUUAUACUGUUAGGGCACAACUGAUUAGUCUAUUUUUGUUCCGGUUUUGGUUCUUAUGAAUGUUGACAUCGAUUCGUUCCAAAUUUACACUCUCAGUACGCAACGAUAUACUGUUAGGGCGCAACUGAGUAGUGUAUUUUUGUUCCAGUUUUGGUUCUUGUGAAGGUUGACAUCGAUUCGUUCCAAAUUGACAUUCUCUGGGCAUAAUUAGAACAAUAUAAUUUGCUUUUACUCUUUGUUCGAUUGAAUGAGAAAAAGUACUGGUCGCAAAGUUAUAUUGUUAGGGCGGAACUGAGUAGUCUUUUUUUGUUCCGGUUUUGGUUCUUGUGAAGGUUGACCUCGAUUCGUUCCAAAUUUACACUCUCCGGACACAAUAGAACAAUAUAAUUAGCUUUUACUCUCUGUUCGAUUAAAUGAGAAAUAGUACUCGUUGCAAUAUUAUACUGUUAGGGCGCAUCUGAGUAGUCUCCUUUUGUUCCGGUUUUGGUGUUUUUGAAGGUUGAUAUCCAUUCGUACCAUAUUUACACUCUCGCGGUAUAAUAGAACAAUAUAAUUAGAUUUUACUCUUUGUUCGAUUGAAUAAGAAAAAGUACUCGUUGCAAAGUUAUACUGUUAGGGCGCAACUGAGUAGUCUAUUUUUGUUCCAGUUUUGGUUCUUGUGAAUGUUGACAUCGAUUCGUUCCAAAUUUACACUCUCGGGACACAAUAGAACAAUAUAAUUAGCUUUAACUCUUUAUUGUAUUAAAUGAGAAAAAGUACUCGUUGCAAAGUUAUACUGUUGGGGUGCAACUGAGUAGUCUUUUUUUGUUCCGGUUUUGGUUCUUUUAAAGGUUGACAUCAAUUCGUUCCAUAUUUACACUCUCGGGGUAUAAUAGAACAAUAUAAUUAGCUUUUACUCUUUGUUCGAUUGAAUGAUAAAAAGUACUCGUUACAAAGUUAUACAGUUAGGGCGUAACUGAGUAGUCUACAUUUGUUCCGGUUUAGGUUCUUUUGAAAGUUGACAUCCAUUCGUUCUAUAUUUACACUCUCGCGGUAUAAUAGAAUAUUAUAAUUAGAUUUUACUCUUUGUUCGAUUGAAUAAGAAAAAGUACUCGUUGCAAAGUUAUACUGUUAGGGCACAAUUGAGUAGUCUAUCUUUGUUCCGGUUUUGGUUCUUGUGUAGGUUGACAUCGAUUCGUUCCAAAUUUACACUCUCAGGACACAAUAGAACAAUAUAAUUAGCUUUUCUCUUUAUUGGAUUAAAUGAGAAAAAGUACUCGUUGCAAAGUUAUACUGUUAGGGCGCAACUGAGUAGUCUUUUUUUGUUCCGGUUUUUGUUCUUUUAAAGGUUGACAUCAAUUCGUUCCAUAUUUACACUCUCGGGGUAUAAUAGAACAAUAUAAUUCGCUUUUACUUUUUGUUCGAUUUAAUAAUAAAAAGUACUCGUUACAAAGUUAUACAGUUAGCGCGUAACUGAGUAGUCUACUUUUGUUCCGGUUUAGGUUCUUUCGAAGGUUGACAUCCAUUCGUUCCAUAUUUACACUCUCGAGGUAUAAUAGAACAAUAUAAAUAGGUUUUUCUCUUUUGUUCGAUAGAUUGAGAAAAAGUACUCGUCGCAAAGUUAUACUGUUAGGACGUAACUGAGUAUUCUAAUGUUGUUCCGAUUUUUGUUCUUGUGAUUGACAUCAAUUCGUUCCAUAUUUACACUCUCGGGGUAUAAUAGAACAAUAUAAUUAGCUUUUACUCUUCGUUCGAUUGAAUGAUAAAAAGUACUCGUUGCAAAGUUAUACUGUUAGGGCGCAACUGAGUAGUCUACUUUUGUUCGGUUUAGGUUCUUUUGAAGGUUGACAUCCAUUCGUACCAUAUUUACACUCUCGCGGUAUAAUAGAACAAUAUAAUUAGAUUUUACUCUUUGUUCGAUUGAAUAAAAAAAAGUACUCGUUCCAAAGUUAUAUUGUUUGGGCGCAACUGAGUAGUCUAUUUUUGUUCCGGUUUUGAUUCUUGUGAAGGUUGACAUCGAUUCGUUCCAAAUUUACACUCUCGGGGCACAAUAGAACAUUAUAAUUAGCUUUAACUCUUUAUUGGAUUAAAUGAGAAAAAGUACUCGUUGCAAAGUUAUACUGUUAGGGCUCAACUGAGUAGUCUAUUUUUGUUCCGAUUAUUGUUCUUUUAAUGGUUGACAUCAAUUCGUUCCAUAUUUACACUCUCGGGUUAUAAUAGAACAAUAUAAUUCGCUUUUACUCUUUGUUCGAUUGAAUGAUAAAAAGUACUCGUUACAAAGAUAUACAGUUAGGGUGUAACUGAGUAGUCUACUUUUGUUCCGGUUUAGGUUCUUUUGAAGGUUGACAUCCAUUCGUUCUAUAUUUACACUCUCGGGGUAUAAUAGAACAUUAUAAUUAGAUUUUACUCUUUGUUCGAUUGAAAGAUAAAAAGUACUCGUCGUAAAGUUACAUUGUUAGGGCGGAACUGAGUAGUCAUUUUUUGUUCCUUUUUUGGUUCUUGUGAAGGUUGACCUCGAUUCGUUCCAAAUUUACACUCUCGGGGCACAAUAGAACAAUAUAAUUAGCUUUUACUCUUUGUUCGAUUAAAUGAGAAAAAGUACUCGUUGCAAAGUUUUACUGUUAGGGCGCAACUGAGUAGUCUUUUUUUGUUCCGGUUUUGGUUCUUUUGAAGGUUGACAUCCAUUCGUUCCAUAUUUACACUCUCGCGAUAUAAUAGAACAAUAUAAUUAGCUAUUACUCUUUGUUCGAUUGAAUGAGAAAAAGUACUCGUUGCAAGUUAUCCUGUUAGGGCGCAACUGAGUAGUCUAUUUUUGUUCCAGUUUUGGUUCUUGUGAAGUUUGACAUCGAUUCGUUCCAAAUUUACACUCUCGGGGCAUAAUAGAACAAUAUAAUUUGCUUUUACUCUUUGUUCGAUUGAAUGAGAAAAAGUACUGGUCGCAAAGUUAUAUUGUUAGGGCGGAACUGAGUAGUCUUUUUUUGUUCCGGUUUUGGUUCUUGUGAAGGUUGACCUCGAUUCGUUCCAAAUUUACACUCUCCGGACACAAUAGAACAAUAUAAUUAGCUUUUACUCUCUGUUCGAUUAAAUGAGAAAUAGUACUCGUUGCAAUAUUAUACUGUUAGGGCGCAUCUGAGUAGUCUCCUUUUGUUCCGGUUUUGGUGUUUUUGAAGGUUGAUAUCCAUUCGUACCAUAUUUACACUCUCGCGGUAUAAUAGAACAAUAUAAUUAGAUUUUACUCUUUGUUCGAUUGAAUAAGAAAAAGUACUCGUUGCAAAGUUAUACUGUUAGGGCGCAACUGAGUAGUCUAUUUUUGUUCCAGUUUUGGUUCUUGUGAAUGUUGACAUCGAUUCGUUCCAAAUUUACACUCUCGGGACACAAUAGAACAAUAUAAUUAGCUUUAACUCUUUAUUGUAUUAAAUGAGAAAAAGUACUCGUUGCAAAGUUAUACUGUUGGGGUGCAACUGAGUAGUCUUUUUUUGUUCCGGUUUUGGUUCUUUUAAAGGUUGACAUCAAUUCGUUCCAUAUUUACACUCUCGGGGUAUAAUAGAACAAUAUAAUUAGCUUUUACUCUUUGUUCGAUUGAAUGAUAAAAAGUACUCGUUACAAAGUUAUACAGUUAGGGCGUAACUGAGUAGUCUACAUUUGUUCCGGUUUAGGUUCUUUUGAAAGUUGACAUCCAUUCGUACCAUAUUUACACUCUCGCGGUAUAUUAGAACAAUAUAAUUCGAUUUUACUCUUUGUUCGAUUGAAUAAAAAAAAGUACUCGUUCCAAAGUUAUACUGUUUGGGCGCAACUGAGUAGUCUAUUUUUUUUCCGGUUUUGGUUCUUGUGAAUGUUGACAUCGAUUAGUUCCAAAUUUACACUCUCGGGGCACAAUAGAACAAUAUAAUUAGAUUUAACUCUUUAUUGGAUUAAAUGAGAAAAAGUACUCGUUGCAAAGUUAUACUGUUAGGGCGCAACUGAGUAGUCUUUUUUUGUUCCGGUUUUUGUUCUUUUAAAGGUUGACAUCAAUUCGUUCCAUAUUUACACUCUCGGGGUAUAAUAGAACAAUAUAAUUCGCUUUUACUUUUUGUUCGAUUUAAUAAUAAAAAGUACUCGUUACAAAGUUAUACAGUUAGCGCGUAACUGAGUAGUCUACUUUUGUUCCGGUUUAGGUUCUUUCGAAGGUUGACAUCCAUUCGUUCCAUAUUUACACUCUCGCGGUAUAAUAGAAUAAUAUAAUUAGAUUUUACUCUUUGUUCGAUUGAAUGAGAAAAAGUACUCGUUGCAAAGUUAUAUUGUUAGGGCGGAACUGAGUAGUCUUUUUUUGUUCCGUUUUUUGUUCUUGUGAAGGUUGAUAUCGAUUCGUUCCAAAUUUACACUCUCAGGACACAAUAGAAAAAUAUAAUUAGCUUUUACACUUUGUUCGAUUGAAUGAGAAAAAGUACUCGUUGCAAAGUUAUACUGUUAGGACGCAACUGAGUAGUCUUUUUUGUUCCGGUUAUUGUUCUUUUAAAGGUUGACAUCAAUUCGUUGCAUAUUUACACUCUCGGGGUAUAAUAGAAUAAUAUAAUUAUCUUUUACUCUUUGUUCGAUUGAAUGAUAAAAAGUACUCGUUGCAAGUUAUACUGUUAGGGCGCAACUGAGUAGUCUAUUUUUGUUCCGGUUUUCGUUCUUGUGAAUGUUGAUAUCGAUUCGUUCCAAAUUUACACUCUCGGGGCACAAUAGAACAAUAUAAUUAGCUUUAACUCUUUAUUCGAUUAAAUGAGAAAAAGUACUCGUUGCAAAGUUAUACUGUUAGGGCGCAACUGAGUAGUCUUUUUUUGUUCCGGUUUUGGUUCUUUUAAAGUUUGACAUCAAUUCGUUCCAUAUUUACACUCUCGGUGUAUAAUAGAACAAUAUAAUUAGCUUUUACUGUUUGUUCGAUUGAAUGAUAAAAAUUACUCGUUACAAAGUUAUACAGUUAGGGCGUAACUGAGUAGUCUACUUUUGUUCCGGUUUUGGUGUGUUUGAAGGUUGACAUCCAUUCGUACCAUAUUUACACUCUCGCGGUAUAAUAGAACAAUAUAAUUAGAUUUUACUCUUUGUUCGAUUGAAUAAGAAAAAGUACUCGUUCCAAAGUUAUACUGUUUGGGCGCAACUGAGUAGUCUAUUUUUGUUCCGGUUUUGGUUCUUGUGAAUGUUGAGAUCGAUUCGUUCCAUAUUUACACUCUCUGGGCAUAAUAGAACAAUAUAAUUAGCUUUAACUCUUUAUUGGAUUAAAUGAGAAAAAGUACUCGUUGCAAUGUUAUACUGUUAGGGCGCAACUGAGUAGUCUUUUUUUGUUCCGAUUUUGGUUCUUUUAUAGGUUGACAUCAAUUCGUUCCAUAUUUACACUCGCGGGGUAUAAUUGAACAAUAUAAUUAGCUUUUACUCUUUGUUCGAUUCAAUGAUAAAAAGCACUCGUUACAAAGUUAUACAGUUAGGGCGUAACUGAGUAGUCUACAUUUGUUCCGGUUUAGGUUCUUUUGAAGGUUGACAUCCAUUCGUUCCAUAUUUAUACUCUCGCGGUAUAAUAGAACAAUAUAAUUAGCUUUUACUAUUUGUUCGAUUGAAUGAGAAAAAGUACUCGUCGCUAAGUUAUAUUGUUAGGGCGGAACUGAGUAGUCUUUUUUUGUUCCGUUUUGGUUCUUGUGAAGGUUGACAUCGAUUCGUUCCAAAUUUACACUCUCCAGACACAAUAGAACAAUAUAAUUAUCUUUUACUCUCUGUUCGAUUAAAUGACAAAUAGUACUCGUUGCAAAGUUAUACUGUUAGGGCGCAUCUGAGUAGUCUACUUUUGUUCCGAUUUUGGUGUUUUUGAAGGUUGACAUCCAUUCGUACCAUAUUUACACCCUCGCGGUAUAAUAGAACAAUAUAAUUAGAUUUUACUCUUUGUUCGAUUGAAUGAUAAAAAGUACUCGUUGCAAAGUUAUACUGUUAGGGCACAACUGAGUAGUCUACUUUUGUUCCGGUUUAGGUUCUUUUGAAGGUUGACAUCCAUUCGUUCCAUAUUUAUACUCUCGCGGUAUAAUAGAACAAUAUAAUUAGCUUUUACUAUUUGUUCGAUUGAAUGAGAAAAAGUACUCGUCGCUAAGUUAUAUUGUUAGGGCGGAACUGAGUAGUCUUUUUUUGUUCCGUUUUGGUUCUUGUGAAGGUUGACAUCGAUUCGUUCCAAAUUUACACUCUCCAGACACAAUAGAACAAUAUAAUUAUCUUUUACUCUCUGUUCGAUUAAAUGAGAAAUAGUACUCGUUGCAAAGUUAUACUGUUAGGGCGCAUCUGAGUAGUCUACUUUUGUUCCGGUUUUGGUGUUUUUGAAGGUUGACAUCCAUUCGUACCAUAUUUACACUCUCGCGGUAUAAUAGAACAAUAUAAUUAGAUUUUACUCUUUGUUCGAUUGAAUAAAAAAAAGUACUCGUUCCGAAGUUAUACUGUUUGGGCGCAACUGAGCAGUCUUUUUUGUUCCGGUUUUUGUUCUUUUAAAGGUUGACAUCAAUUCGUUCCAUAUUUACACCUCUGCGCAUAAUAGAACAAUAUAAUUAGCUUUUACUCUUUGUUCGAUUAAAUGAGAAAAAGUACUCGUUACAAAGUUAUACUGUUAGGACGCAACUGAGUAGUCUUUUUUGUUCCGAUUUUUAUUCUUUUAAAGGUUGACAUCAAUUCGUUCCAUAUUUACACUCUCGGGGUAUAAUAGAACAAUAUAAUUACCUUUUACUCUUUGUUCGAUUGAAUGAUAAAAAGUACUCGUUGCAAAGUUAUACUGUUAGGGCACAACUGAGUAGUCUACUUUUGUUCCGGUUUUGGUGUUUUUGAAGGUUGACAUCCAUUCGUACCAUAUUUACACUCUCGCGGUAUAAUAGAACAAUAUAAUUAUAUUUUACUCUUUGUUCGAUUGAAUAAGAAAAAGAACUCGUUCCAAAGUUAUACCGUUUCGGCGCAACUGAGUAGUCUAUUUUUGUUCCGGUUUUGGUUCUUGUGAAUGUUGACAUCGAUUCGUUCCAAAUUUACACUCUCGGGGCACAAUAGAACAUUAUAAUUAGCUUUUACUCUUUGUUCGAUUAAAUGAGAAAAAAUACUCGUUGCAAAGUUAUACUGUUAGGGCGCAACUGAUUAGUCUUUUUUUGUUCCGAUUAUUGUUCUUUUAAAGGUUGACAUCAAUUCGUUCCAUAUUUACACUCUCGGGGUAUAAUAGAACAAUAUAAUUACCUUUUACUCUUUGUUCGAUUGAAUGAUAAAAAGUACUCGUUACAAAGUUAUACUGUUAGAGCGCAACUGAGUAGUCUACUUUUGUUCCGGUUUAGGUUCUUCUGAAGGUUGACAUCCAUUCGUUCCAUAUUUACACUCUCGCGGUAUAAUAGAACAAGAUAAUUAGCUUUUACUCUUUGUUCGAUUGAAAGAGAAAAAGUACUCGUUGCAAAGUUAUACUGUUAUGGCACAACUGUGUAGUCUAUUUUUGUUCCAGUUUUGGUUCUUGUGUAGGUUGACAUCGAUUCGUUCCAAAUUUACACUGUCGAGGCGUAAUAGAACAAUAUAAUUAGCUUUUACUCUUUGUUCGAUUGAACGAGAAAAAGAACUCGUCGCAAUGAUAUACUGUUAGGGCGCAACUGAGUAGUCUACUUUUGUUCCGGUAUUGGUUCUUGUGUAGGUUGACAUCGAUUCGUUCUAAAUUUACACUCUCGUGGCAUAAUCUAACAAUAUAAUUAGCUUUUUACUCUUUGUUCGAUUGAAUGAGAAAAAGUACUCGUCACAAAGUUAUAUUGUUAGGGCGGAACUGAGUAGUCAUUUUUUGUUCCGGUUUUGGUUCUUGUGAAGGUUGACAUCGAUUCGUUCCAAAUUUACACUCUUAGGGCACAAUAGAACAAUAUAAUUAGCUUUUACUCUUUGUUCGAUUAAAUGAGAAAAAGUACUCGUUGCAAAGUUAUACAGUUAGGGCGUAACUGAGUAGUCUACAUUUGUUCCGGUUUAGGUUCUUUCGAAGGUUGACAUCCAUUCGUUCCAUAUUACACUCUCGCGGUAUAAUAAAACAAUAUAAUUAGAUUUUACUCUUUGUUCGAUUGAAUGAGAAAAAUUACUCGUUCCAAAUUUAUGCUGUUUGGCCGCAAUUGAGUAGCUUAAUGUUGUUCCGGUUUUCGUUCUUGUGAAGGUUGACACCAAUUCGUUCCAUAUUUACACUCUCGGGGUAUAAUAGAAAAAUAUAUUUUCACUCUCGGGGUAUAAUAGAAUAAUAUAAUUAGCUUUUACUAUUUAUUCUAUUAAAUGAGAAAAAGAACUCGUUGCAAAGUUAUACUGUUAUGGCGCAACUGAGUAGUCUUUUUUUGUUCCGAUUUUGGUUCUUUUAAAGGUUGACAUUCGAUUCGUACCAAAUUUACACUCUCAGGACACAAUAGUACAAUAUAAUUAGUUUUUACUCUUUGUUCGAUUGAAUGAGAAAAAGUACUCGUCGCAAUGAUAUACUGUUAGGGCGUAACUGAGUAGUCUAUUUUUGUUCCGGUUUUGGUUCUUGUGAAGUUUGACAUCGAUUCGUUCCAAAUUUACACUCUCGGGGCAUAAUAGAACAAUAUAAUUAGUUUUUACUCUUUGUUCGACUGAAUGAGAAAAAGAACUCGUUGCAAAGUUAUACUGUUAGGGCGCAACAGAGUAGUCUACUUUUAUUCCGGUUUUGGUUCUUGUGUAGGUUGACAUCGAUUCGUUCUAAAUUUACACUCUCAGGG